GACGAACGCUGGCGGCGUGCUUAACACAUGCAAGUCGAACGGAAAGGCCCUGCUUUUGUGGGGUGCUCGAGUGGCGAACGGGUGAGUAACACGUGAGUAACCUGCCCUUGACUUUGGGAUAACUUCAGGAAACUGGGGCUACUAUCGGAUAGGAGCUCCUGCUCCAUGGUGGGGGUUGGAAAGUUUCGGCGGUUGGGGAUGGACUCGCGGCUUAUCAGCUUGUUGGUGGGGUAGUGGCUUACCCAGGCUUUGACGGGUAGCCGGCCUGAGAGGGUGACCGGCCACAUUGGGACUGAGAUACGGCCCAGACUGCUACGGGAGGCAGCAGUGGGGAAUAUUGCACAAUGGGCGGAAGCCUGAUGCAGCAACGCCGCGUGCGGGAUGACGGCCUUCGGGUUGUAAACCGCUUUCGCCUGUGACGAAGCGUGAGUGAUGGUAAUGGGUAAAGAAGCACCGGCUAACUACGUG
Molecule: ribosomal RNA, 468 nt
Filed under: uncultured bacterium
Lineage: Bacteria
Description: partial 16S ribosomal RNA
Rfam family: Bacterial small subunit ribosomal RNA
Source: RNAcentral